Long non-coding RNA from Acipenser ruthenus (sterlet), 162 nucleotides. RefSeq lists it as uncharacterized. The record is from RefSeq and is a predicted model, not a curated record. NCBI's taxonomy places the organism in Eukaryota, Metazoa, Chordata, Actinopteri, Acipenseriformes, Acipenseridae. The transcript has 3 exons.
AUUAGCAGUGUCCUGACUUUAACAAAGCUUAAGCCAGUACCUGUGGACAUGGCCAGCAUACCUUCAGAAGAAUCUUACAGAAGUCUAUCUUAUGAAAUCACCAUGGUCUCCAUAUGUGGAGUUAUUUUACUGACGACCCUGAUUAUAACUGCAUUCAAAAUA